RNAcentral lists this ribosomal RNA (483 nucleotides) under uncultured bacterium. RNAcentral's name for it is "partial 16S ribosomal RNA". It matches the Rfam family "Bacterial small subunit ribosomal RNA", at positions 29 to 506 of the family's 1533-position model. The record is from RNAcentral.
AUUGAACGCUGGCGGCAUGCUUUACACAUGCAAGUCGAACGGCAGCGCGGGCUUCGGCCUGGCGGCGAGUGGCGAACGGGUGAGUAAUGCAUCGGAACGUGCCCAGUAGUGGGGGAUAGCCCGGCGAAAGCCGGAUUAAUACCGCAUACGACCUGAGGGUGAAAGCGGGGGACCGAAAGGCCUCGCGCUAUUGGAGCGGCCGAUGUCGGAUUAGCUAGUUGGUGGGGUAAAGGCUUACCAAGGCGACGAUCCGUAGCUGGUCUGAGAGGACGACCAGCCAAACUGGGACUGAGACACGGCCCAGACUCCUACGGGAGGCAGCAGGGGGGAAUUUUGGAAAAUGGGGGAAACCCUGAUCCAGCCAUGCCGGGGGGGGGAAGAAGGCCUUCGGGUUGUAAACCGCUUUUGUGGGGGAAGAAACCCUCUGGGAUAAUACCCCGGGGGGAUGACGGUACCGGAAAAAUAAGCACCGGCUAACUACGU